Molecule: long non-coding RNA, 1736 nt
Organism: Monodelphis domestica (gray short-tailed opossum)
Lineage: Eukaryota; Metazoa; Chordata; Mammalia; Didelphimorphia; Didelphidae
Source: Ensembl
ACUGGGAGAACAUUAAACAGAAUAACAGAAAUACUGGAUGGUGAUUAUCUGUUAAAACUUGGCUUCUCUCAGCAAUGCAAUAAUCUGGGACAAUCCUGAAAGUCUUAUGACAGGGAAUGUUAUCCAUCUCUAGAGAAAGUUGGAGUCAUCUUUCACAUCAGUGUAUUUUUGGUUUUAGUUUGGGAUUUUGGUUAUUUAUGAGUUUGAUUUUAUGAAAAUGGCCAAUAUAGAAAUGUGAUUUGCAUGACAAUAAAAAUAUUCUUAAAAGGAAUGAAAGAAAAAAUUUAAUGUCCUAUGUAAUUAUCGAUUAGUGAAAUGUAAACCAACACAACUCAGAUAUUAUUUCACAACAAUAACUAUCAGUGCUAAGGCAGACUAGAAGUAAGGGUUAGGCAUUAGGUGUUAAGUGACUUGCCCAGGGUCACACAGCUAAAAGUGUCUGCAGUCAUAUUUGAACCCAGAACCUCCUAUUUCCAGACCUGGCUUUGUCCACUGAACCACCUACAUGCCUCACAGGGAAUGAAAUCUUCAAAAUACAAAGCUAAGGGGGAAAACACAUAAAUAAGUACACAGCUACAUGGUUCAGAUUUCAUUUACAAAGGAGUUUUAGCAGACUACUUCAUGAGUAACAAUCUUUCUUAGGGAAACUUUUCUUCUCCUCCUCGAUACAUCUUGUAAUAUAGUUAUGUAGUUGAAAAAUGAAUCUUCAAGACAAUGUCAUAAUUUAAUGCUAAUAAAAGCAUGUACAAAUUUUUUUAAAGACUAGAUGAUUUUUAUUACCUUGUCUUAUCUUUUAUUACCCUCUUCUAUUGUCUCUUUGGAAAUGAAGGAGUCAUCAGGACUGAUCAGUGUUUGAGAUGUUUGUCCAUUUUGUGUCUCAGUGGCUAAUCUUCUGAUGCUGGACUUCUCCCUACUUACCUUGGACAGCCCAUGAACAGAUACAAGGCCUCGGCGCCAGUUCGAUCCUGGAACUUGAGCCUGGAGGAGCUCCCUCAGACAGCUUCCUUGAGAUGGUCUCCUGGUGAGUGAUAAGACUGACUCCCUUUUCCCUUGGCUCUAAGGGGAGGCCCCUUGGCUUAGGCCUUGAACUCCUUCCUGGCUCAGCCUGAGCUGGAGCAGUUUAAAUUAACUCUUUCCUCUCUCUCUCUCUUUCUUAAAUUCUUUCCUCUAUAUUAAUUAAAAUCACCAUAAAUUUCCAGCUGAUUUGGGUAUUGUAUUUGGGAUAUCCCAUGGCGACCAAUAAUUAAAUAUAGUUUAGGCCACAGCACUAAAAUUAUCCUUACAGUGGGGAGCAAAAAACAAGACAAUGAAACUGGAUCACAGAGUACACGGUAGUAUGUGAAGUAUAAGAAAACUGGGAAGGUAGAAGGAAGGAGAUUGUGAAGGGCUAUGAAUUAGCUUUUCUAAAGGAUAUUUUUUCAAAUAUACAGCAAGAACGGAAGUAGAAACAUUCCCUCUCAAGUACUUUGAGGAAACACUCUCAUAAUAGCACUUUGGGCUCUAGGAAGAAUGGGCUCAGUUAUAACACAAUUUAAAUAGCAUCAGUCCCAACAAGAUCAUAGUCAUAUGUAACAUCACUGCUGAAAAAAGCCUUUGUCUCAGAUACUGCUAGGCUGGGUCUCAAAAGUCAGUCCUUGGGGUUUCGAAGAAUAUAGUAAUAUAUAGAAUACUUGUUGAUCUGUACUCGACUUCCCAACCAUUGGAUGUCUCAUUGUCCUGACCUUUCAAAUUCAAUA